CAAUAGCGUAUAUUUAAGUUGUUGCAGUUAAAAAGCUCGUAGUUGGAUUUCGGAUGGGAUCUGCCGGUCUGUCUUUGAGAUGUGUACUGGUAGGUCCUAUCUUGUUGUCGGGGACCAGCUCCUGGGCUUCACUGUCCGGGACUGGGAGCCGACGAAGUUACUUUGAGUAAAUUAGAGUGUUCAAAGCAAGCCUACGCUCUGAAUAUAUUAGCAUGGAAUAACACGAUAGGACUCUGGCUUAUCUUGUUGGUCUGUGAGACCAGAGUAAUGAUUAAGAGGGACAGUCGGGGACAUUCGUAUUUCAUUGUCAGAGGUGAAAUUCUUGGAUUUAUGAAAGACGAACUACUGCGAAAGCAUUUGUCAAGGAUGUUUUCAUUAA
RNAcentral lists this ribosomal RNA (379 nucleotides) under uncultured eukaryote. Its description in RNAcentral is "partial 18S ribosomal RNA". It matches the Rfam family "Eukaryotic small subunit ribosomal RNA", at positions 592 to 976 of the family's 1831-position model. The record is from RNAcentral.